This 330-nucleotide ribosomal RNA is filed under the name uncultured Lactobacillus sp. Its description in RNAcentral is "bacterial SSU rRNA". It matches the Rfam family "Bacterial small subunit ribosomal RNA", at positions 28 to 334 of the family's 1533-position model. The record is from RNAcentral. Lineage: Bacteria; Bacillati; Bacillota; Bacilli; Lactobacillales; Lactobacillaceae.
GACGAACGCUGGCGGCGUGCCUAAUACAUGCAAGUCGAACGAAACUUUCUUACACCGAAUGCUUGCAUUUAUCGUAAGAAGUUGAGUGGCGGACGGGUGAGUAACACGUGGGUAACCUGCCUAAAAGAAGGGGAUAACACUUGGAAACAGGUGCUAAUACCGUAUAUCUCUAAGGAUCGCAUGAUCCUUAGAUGAAAGGUGGUUCUGCUAUCGCUUUUGGAUGGACCCGCGGCGUAUUAACUAGUUGGUGGGGUAACGGCCUACCAAGGUGAUGAUACGUAGCCGAACUGAGAGGUUGAUCGGCCACAUUGGGACUGAGACACGGCCCAA